GGAAUGUGGCUCAGUGGUAGAGCACUUGCUUAGCAUGUGCAAGGCCCUGGUUUCAAUCCCUAGCACCA
This 68-nucleotide transfer RNA is filed under the name Marmota monax (woodchuck). RNAcentral describes it as "tRNA.Ala". The record is from RNAcentral. Lineage: Eukaryota; Metazoa; Chordata; Mammalia; Rodentia; Sciuridae.